RNAcentral lists this ribosomal RNA (400 nucleotides) under phytoplankton environmental sample. RNAcentral describes it as "partial small subunit ribosomal RNA". It matches the Rfam family "Eukaryotic small subunit ribosomal RNA", at positions 587 to 985 of the family's 1831-position model. The record is from RNAcentral.
AGCUCCAAUAGCGUAUAUUAAAGUUGCUGCGGUUAAAAAGCUCGUAGUUGGAUCUCAGUCUUUGUUUUAAGGUCUGCCUUGAGGUAGUACUUUAUAAACUAGACAUCUUGCCGGCUCUCUCGGCUUGCACUUUAUUGUGUGUGUCGAGGGACUGGCGCGUUCACUUUGAAAAAAUUAGAGUGCUUAAAGCAGGUCCUCGAUACCUGAAUAGUGGUGCAUGGAAUGAAAGAACAGGACUUCGGUUCCGUUCUUUUUGUCGGUCUUUUCCGAACUGAAGUAAUGAUUAAAAGGAACAGACGGUGUCAUUCGUAUUGUAGCGCUAGAGGUGAAAUUCUUGGACCGCUACAAGACGACCUACUGCGAAGGCAUCUGACAAGGAUGUUUUCAUUAAUCAAGAACG